UUGGGUUAGUCCGCACGAGCGCACCCUCACCUUCAGUUGCCAGCGGUUUGGCCGGGCACUCUGAAGGAACUGCCGGUGACAAGCCGGAGGAAGGCGGGGAUGACGUCAAGUCCUCAUGGCCCUUACGGGCUGGGCUACACACGUGCUACAAUGGCGGUGACAGUGGGAUGCGAGCGCGCGAGCGCAAGCCGAUCCCAAAAAACCGUCUCAGUUCAGAUUGCACUCUGCAACUCGGGUGCAUGAAGGCGGAAUCGCUAGUAAUCGCGGAUCAGCAUGCCGCGGUGAAUACGUUCCCGGGCCUUGUACACACCGCCCGUCACACCAUGGGAGUUGGCUUUACCUUAAGCCGGUGCGUGAACCCAGCAAUGGGGCACAGCCGUCCACGGUAAGGUCAGCGACUGGGGUGAAGUCGUAACAAGGUAACCA
Molecule: ribosomal RNA, 426 nt
Filed under: uncultured Alphaproteobacteria bacterium
Lineage: Bacteria; Pseudomonadati; Pseudomonadota; Alphaproteobacteria
Description: bacterial SSU rRNA
Rfam family: Bacterial small subunit ribosomal RNA
Source: RNAcentral